GAUGAACGCUGGCGGCGCGCCUAACACAUGCAAGUCGAACGGUUAAAGCACCUUCGGGUGCACAUAGAGUGGCGAACGGCUGAGUAACACGUGGGCAACCUGCCCCCCUCAUCGGGACAGCCUCGGGAAACCGUGGUUAAUACCGAAUACUCCGGGCCCCCCGCAUGGGGGGCCCGGGAAAGCUCCGGCGGAGGGGGAUGGGCCCGCGGCCUGUUAGCUAGUUGGUGGGGCAACGGCCCACCAAGGCAAUUAUGGGUAGCUGGGUUGAGAGACCGACCAGCCAGAUUGGGACUGAGACACGGCCCAGACUCCUACGGGAGGCAGCAGUGGGGAAUCUUGCACAAUGGGCGAAAGCCUGAUGCAGCGACGCCGCGUGCGGGAUGAAGGCCUUCGGGUUGUAAACCGCUUUCAGCAGGGACGAGGCCGCGAGGUGACGGUACCUGCAGAAGAAGCCCCGGCUAACUACGUG
Molecule: ribosomal RNA, 469 nt
Filed under: uncultured organism
Description: bacterial SSU rRNA
Rfam family: Bacterial small subunit ribosomal RNA
Source: RNAcentral